This 144-nucleotide microRNA precursor is filed under the name Podarcis lilfordi (Lilford's wall lizard). Lineage: Eukaryota; Metazoa; Chordata; Lepidosauria; Squamata; Lacertidae. The record is from RNAcentral.
AGGAGAGAGAGACAGAGAGCCUGCUUGCUUUAAAGGAGCAAAGCGGGAGAGGAGAGGAGAGGAGAGGAGCCGCUUACAUGAGUGUAAGCGGCUCCUGUCCGGUUGGCUCCUUUAAAGCACGCAGGCUCUCUGUCCCUCUCUCCU